UUGCUCUACGCAGUGCGUUUCAUCGAUGAGAAAACACCUCCCGCCCCACCAUGCAGCACAUAACUCGGAGCAGCGUACCUCCCUCCGCGCAUCCAGAAACCUAAAGAGCAAAUCGAAUCGUAUUUUGUCCCUCUGUAUUUACGAAGACUCAUUUGCCAGCUUCUCUAAUCCACUUUAAAGAAAAAAUAGAGAAAGCGUUUGUAGAAGUCUUCCGAGCUUCCAGUCAGCAUCCCAAGGCAUUCUCCGGGACCAGAGUGGACAGGGGAAGGACAAAUGCAAGUGCAUAUCCUACAGAUAAGCAUCAUUUAUAUUUAAUUACUUAGCCAAAAUUUUGAGGAGGAGGAUGAUGAUGAUGACGAAGACAAUGAUAGUGAUAUCAACUACAAAAUGGUGAUGGUAAUGGUGAUACUCUGGAAUCCACUAGAGAAAAAUCUAACAGCUUUCACUUGAGUGAAGCUGUAUAUUGGAAAAGGAAUGCAUUAGACAUCUGUGCCAUGCAAAUCAACAGCCUUAGGAAAUGACUAACCAUGCCAAGAAAUAAAUCUAUAAAGAAUUCCUUAUCAUUCAGGGAGGAUCCUGAGAGAGCCUGUUAGUAUCACACUUUUGCAGCCUGCUUCUUUGUGGCAGUCCACUACUGAAAAAAGUCACCAGUGCUGUUUCCCAGAUGUCUCUAGUUCUCUACCUUUCAGGAAUGGGAGAUUGUGCUCUCCAGCUCUCUUGUGGUUAGAGCAGGCAAGAGUUCUGACCAAGGAUUUGUACACAGAAGUAAUGUGUAUCCCUUCUAGACUAAAACAUUACAUCAAAUGUGAAGGAAGCCCCUUCCUUGUGUCCUUCCUUACCAGGGCCACAAUGGCCAGUGCUCAGGAUGGUGGCUGCUCUGUCCAAGUAAGGUGGGUUCCAGAGUGAGAUGACAUGGAGCCCAGCCAAAGAAAUAUAAAUGUAGCAUGAGUGAUAAACCAUCUUUUGUUGUUCUAAUCCUCUGAUAUAUGGGGGUUUAUCUGUUUGGUGGCAUGGCAUGGCAUAAUCUAGUUUAUCUGAACCAAUUCAGCAGUACUACCCAGAAAUGAGGAGCUGCUAUAACCAAAAACCUAAAAUUUGUGGCAUUGGAUUGGGGCCAAAUGAUGUGCAAUGAAGAAACUUUACAAGCAAUCCAUAUUACAAGUGGCAAAAUAUUUGAAAAUUGUUGCCUGUGACAGCUUAGAAGCAGAUAAAGUCCCUGAAACUUGCAUAUCUGAGAGGAGGUUUGAAAACAGAUUGUUAGUAUUAUACAGUGACUACUGUGGGCUGCGUCUGGCAACAUAGUACAAGAUACUGAUGUGCUCAGAAAAGAAUUGGUCACUUAGCAAGCAGAGGUGGAAUGGGCCAGAGACAGUCCAGAAAUGUGGGGAUCUUGAGGAUUGGCAGUGGCAACUGCCUCCCAUCACCCCCCCUCAGAAAGUAAACAAAAAUUAAAAGACCUCUGUGUACAAAAGGCUGAUUAGGACUCAGGUUUGCUGAGGCACAAUCAAGCUGAGGGCAGUCAUGCCCAUUGUUAAUACCUCGGAAUGUAAUAAGACGUUUUAGAGCAAAAACUGAUUAUAGUUGUGGCUCCCACUCCUGCAUACCACACCACCACCACCAAAAAAGAAAUCAUUUUAAUUGGACAAAGUGGCUUAGAAACAGAGGAUGAAGAAGAGACAGAGAAAGAGCGAGAAACUAGAAGUGUAACUUCCCACAGAAAACUGAUAGACUCAAAUUAUGUUCAUCUCAAGAAGAACUAUGGGUGUGGUUAUUGACUAGUGGCACAUAGAGCUGCCUAGAACAGAUAAAGAAAAGCCCAAGAUCAUUUUAAGAUAGCCAUACUCAAAGGAACAUGACCUGGACUGAACCAUUCAUUGCUCAGUCUGUUCAGGACCUGAAACAAUCCUUCGCCCCUAAAUUUUUAUGUUCAAGAACCUGGCUGAGAGAGCUACUUAGUCCCCAAGGAAGAGUACCAGCAGCAAUGCCUAUUGCAGAUGCAACCAACAAAGAUAACAGAGAAAAAGGAA
RNAcentral lists this long non-coding RNA (2027 nucleotides) under Canis lupus familiaris (dog). RNAcentral's name for it is "lncRNA (ENSCAFG00845030436.1)". The record is from RNAcentral. Lineage: Eukaryota; Metazoa; Chordata; Mammalia; Carnivora; Canidae.